Molecule: long non-coding RNA, 1244 nt
Organism: Bubalus bubalis (water buffalo)
Lineage: Eukaryota; Metazoa; Chordata; Mammalia; Artiodactyla; Bovidae
Exons: 2
Source: RefSeq, a predicted model, not a curated record
UUUUCUUUCAUUUUAUUUUCAUAGUCUACUUAAACUUGACUUUAAAAAAAAAAAAAAGAUUCAAGCACAUAAGAAUGUUAAUGUAUUUCUGAAUUUGCUUCAGUCGUGUCCGACUCUGUGUGACCCCACAGACGGCAGCCCACCAGGCUCCUCUGUCCUUGGGAUUCUCCAGGGAAGAAUACUGGAGUAGGUUGCCAUUUCCUCCUCCACUCUCAAAGUUCCAGACCCAUACCCUUGGAUUGUGUCCUGAAAACCUGGGAUGGGCCUGACAAACGACAUGGGCCUGCUUCUGCUGACUCCAAACGUCCCGAGUCUGCCAUUUGACCCUCAAGACAACGCCUUUCUGUCCUGGGCUCAUUCUUAUGCUGCAUUCCACAAUCGGUCUAAUUGCUGGGUCUGCGGAGUGCUCCCCUCUUCAUCAGUUGAAGGGUUCCCAUGUUCAGGCCCUCCUUUUGCCUCGCCAGGAACUCACUGGGACUGGAUCGCUCUGUCACGCUGGUUUGCUCCAAACAGGACCUAUUGGAUAUGUGGCUCUUAUCUAUGGGCAUGGCUUCCCCCUGGCUGGAUAGGGAGGUGCACCCUAGGUCUAGCUUUUACUCGUGGCUUCAUAUUUUCAGAGCUUCCAGAGAAUCCUGCUGAUCUGCCACAGCUUAAAACUCGCUGGGCAAGGUCUGUAUUUCACUGGUAUGAUUAUCUGGCUGCAAUAUCCAUCCCCUCUCUGGGGACACAGAUGUUAUGCUACGAGUUGAUGCUCUGACUAAGUUAACUCAACAGGCUUUACAAGAUUCUCAAAAAGCUAGUUCAGCCCUUAAUGCUAAACAAAUACAAAUUAGAAAGGCGGUUUUACAAAACAGAUUGGCCUUAGAUAUUCUAACAGCUGCACAAGGAGGAACUUGUGCCAGUAUUCAUACCCAAAGUUGCACAUAUAUACCAGAUAUGAGUACUAAUGCUACUCACAUACUAAACACAUGAACGAGAUGAUUCAGGCUAUGGAUUCUCUCGAAGUUUCAGUCACCUCACUUUGGGAAAGGUUAACUAGCUCCCCAUGGUAGAAAACUAUCUUAAUUGUAGUAAUUCUAAUUGUUCUGUUUUUACUGUUUGCUCCCUGCAUCUGCAACUGUGUAACUGGAUUUGUUUCUAACCGUCUGAAAGCUUUUAUGUUACAAAUGGUUGUCCAGGCUCCUAGGAGUGCCACAGCCUCCUUCAACUAUUACUUGGGGCCCCUAGAUCAGAGACCCUCAAUA